AAGGGAGGCGGGGAAAGUCCCCGCGGACGCGGCCGGGUGAGGUGGGGGGGGGGGCCCUGGAGGCCCGCGUGGCCCGCCGCCCGUCCCCGCCCAGGCUCCGGCCUCCGCACCUGCAUUUUGUGCCGAUUUUGUGGUCAAAUGAGCAGGACUUGAGGCCGCCUGGGGAGCGUCCAGCGUCAUCUCCCGGCCGGGAGUCCCCCUGCCGCCGUGCGCGGGCCCGUGGCCGCCGAGCCAGAAGGAGCGUCAGACCCCACCGCCCGCGGCCUGGGUGAGAAGGCGGAGCGGCCGGCCACGUGAGAAAGGCGAAGCCUACUUCUCCGUGCGUGGCUGCAGCAAGAGCCCGCGUGGCCUUGCUUGUAUUUUUUGGCAGAGACUCAGGCGGGCAGAGGAUCGGGAAAACACGUGGAUGGUGGAAAGAAGGGAAGGCCCCGACGUGCCCCGCGGGGGCUGCAGGUCUGAACUCUGCCCGCCGGGAGCCCACUCGAUCCCAGUGUGGCCCUCUCUGAGGGAAAUAAGCUGCGAAGAGAACAUCCCGUGGUGAAGAGGGCUCCAGCAUCUCAGCUGUGACGGCUGGGGUCUGCUCCUCGUAGAUACCGAUGCCUGAAACCACUGGGAAGGAGUGGUUCUCUCCCUCAUGAUGUCGAGGAGGCAAGG
This is a long non-coding RNA of Canis lupus familiaris (dog), 654 nucleotides long. RefSeq lists it as uncharacterized. NCBI's taxonomy places the organism in Eukaryota, Metazoa, Chordata, Mammalia, Carnivora, Canidae. The record is from RefSeq and is a predicted model, not a curated record. The transcript has 3 exons.